UACGGAGGGGGCUAGCGUUGUUCGGAAUUACUGGGCGUAAAGCGCACGUAGGCGGCUUUGCAAGUUAGAGGUGAAAGCCCGGGGCUCAACUCCGGAAUUGCCUUUAAGACUGCAUCGCUAGAAUUGUGGAGAGGUAAGUGGAAUUCCGAGUGUAGAGGUGAAAUUCGUAGAUAUUCGGAAGAACACCAGUGGCGAAGGCGACUUACUGGACACAUAUUGACGCUGAGGUGCGAAAGCGUGGGGAGCGAACAGG
Molecule: ribosomal RNA, 253 nt
Filed under: uncultured bacterium
Lineage: Bacteria
Description: partial 16S ribosomal RNA
Rfam family: Bacterial small subunit ribosomal RNA
Source: RNAcentral